GUCGACCCCUAAGGUGAGGCCGAAAGGCGUAAUCGAUGGGAAGCAGGUUAAUAUUCCUGCACGACUUGUAAUUGCGAUGGGGGGACGGAGAAGGCUAGGUGGGCCAGGCGACGGUUGUCCUGGUGAAAGUGCGUAGGUGGUGUUUCCAGGCAAAUCCGGAGACACAACACUGAGACACGAGACGAACGCACCACGGUGCGGAAGCCAUUGAUGCCCUGCUUCCAGGAAAAGCCUCUAAGCUUCAGAUUACAAGUCAUCGUACCCCAAACCGACACAGGUGGUCGGGUAGAGAA
RNAcentral lists this ribosomal RNA (293 nucleotides) under Aeromonas sp. MrichA-1. Its description in RNAcentral is "partial 23S ribosomal RNA". It matches the Rfam family "Bacterial large subunit ribosomal RNA", at positions 1383 to 1678 of the family's 2925-position model. The record is from RNAcentral. Lineage: Bacteria; Pseudomonadati; Pseudomonadota; Gammaproteobacteria; Aeromonadales; Aeromonadaceae.